CCUUUGACGUUAGCGGCGGACGGGUGAGUAACACGUGGGUAACCUACCUAUAAGACUGGGGAUAACUUCGGGAAACCGGAGCUAAUACCGGAUAAUAUUUCGAACCGCAUGGUUCGAUAGUGAAAGGUGGUUUUGCUAUCACUUAUAGAUGGACCCGCGCCGUAUUAGCUAGUUGGUAAGGUAACGGCUUACCAAGGCGACGAUGCGUAGCCGACCUGAGAGGGUGAUCGGCCACACUGGAACUGAGACACGGUCCAGACUCCUACGGGAGGCAGCAGCC
RNAcentral lists this ribosomal RNA (280 nucleotides) under uncultured Staphylococcus sp. Its description in RNAcentral is "partial 16S ribosomal RNA". It matches the Rfam family "Bacterial small subunit ribosomal RNA", at positions 83 to 355 of the family's 1533-position model. The record is from RNAcentral. Lineage: Bacteria; Bacillati; Bacillota; Bacilli; Caryophanales; Staphylococcaceae.